RNAcentral lists this ribosomal RNA (252 nucleotides) under uncultured bacterium. RNAcentral's name for it is "partial 16S ribosomal RNA". It matches the Rfam family "Bacterial small subunit ribosomal RNA", at positions 524 to 776 of the family's 1533-position model. The record is from RNAcentral.
UACGAAGGGGGCUAGCGUUGCUCGGAAUCACUGGGCGUAAAGCGCACGUAGGCGGCUUGUUAAGUCAGGGGUGAAAUCCUGGAGCUCAACUCCAGAACUGCCUUUGAUACUGGCGAGCUUGAGUUCGGGAGAGGUGAGUGGAACUGCGAGUGUAGAGGUGAAAUUCGUAGAUAUUCGCAAGAACACCAGUGGCGAAGGCGGCUCACUGGCCCGAUACUGACGCUGAGGUGCGAAAGCGUGGGAGCAAACAGG